AUACGGAGGGUGCAAGCGUUGUCCGGAUUUAUUGGGUUUAAAGGGUGCGUAGGUGGCGUGUUAAGUCAGUGGUGAAAGCCAGCAGCUCAACUGUAGAGGUGCCAUUGAUACUGACAUGCUUGAGUAUGGACGAGGUAGGCGGAAUUUGUGGUGUAGCGGUGAAAUGCAUAGAUACCACAAAGAACACCGAUAGCGAAGGCAGCUUACUGGACCAUAACUGACACUGAGGCACGAAAGUGUGGGUAGCGAACAGGAUUAGAAACCCUAGUAGUCC
RNAcentral lists this ribosomal RNA (274 nucleotides) under uncultured bacterium. RNAcentral describes it as "partial 16S ribosomal RNA". It matches the Rfam family "Bacterial small subunit ribosomal RNA", at positions 523 to 796 of the family's 1533-position model. The record is from RNAcentral.